Sorghum bicolor (sorghum) is the source of this 3442-nucleotide RNA transcript. RefSeq lists it as uncharacterized. NCBI's taxonomy places the organism in Eukaryota, Viridiplantae, Streptophyta, Magnoliopsida, Poales, Poaceae. The transcript has 13 exons. The record is from RefSeq and is a predicted model, not a curated record.
GAGCAGAAGCCAGUGCACUGGUGUGGCCAUUUGCGUGUAUUUAAAUAGCCUGUGGUAGCUCCCCGUGCUUCUUCGGCGGACGGCUGCUUUUCCCUAACUAGCUCUCUGGUGAUAUGCUACUUCUAGUUCUUGAGAAGUGAAGGUAGAUGAUGAUGUUGCCCCUAAGGAGGACGACGGCUGCGGCGGUUCUGAUGGUCCUGGUGGCUUUCGUCGUCGUCGUCGCCGGUGGCGCAGAGGCGGAGGCGGGACCACAUCGGAUUCUGCUGGACACGGACAUGGACACCGACGACUUGUUGGCGCUGCUCUACAUCCUCAAGCAGAACCGGUCCGAGUUCGACCUCAAGGCAGUUUCCAUCAGUGUCAAUGCAUGGAGUAAUGCCGGACAUGCUGUGAAUCAUCUGUAUGAUAUACUCUAUAUGAUGGGCCGUGAUGACAUUCUGGUUGGUAUUGGUGGUGAUGGUGGUAUCUCAGACUCUGGCACCAUAUAUCCAAAUGUCAGUGGUUAUUUACCACUGAUUGAUCAGGGCAUGACAACAGUAGGAGGCUGCCGGUACAGGCAAGCUAUUCCACAAGGAGGCGGUGGGCGGUUAGACAAGGACACAAACUUUGGAUUGAGAAGGGGCUUCCUUCCGCAGGGACGCAGAAAAUAUACUCCUCUUCAGCAACCUACAGCCCAACAAGUAAUGAUAGAAACAAUAUCUGCUGGUCCUACAACUGUCAUUCUCACAGGAUCACAUACAAACUUUGCCAUUUUUCUCAUGACAUAUCCACACCUGAAAAAGAACGUGGAGCACAUAUACAUUAUGGGUGGUGGAGUGAGAUCAAAGAACCCUACAGGUUGCUGUCCAAAAAAUGCUACCAAAUUCUGCACACCACAGCAGUGUGGUGACCAUGGUAACUUAUUUACUUGUUACACUACAAACCCGAAUGCAGAAUUUAACAUAUUUGGAGAUCCUUUCUCUGCAUACCAGGUUUUUCAUUCUGGAAUUUCAAUCACACUUGUUCCUCUUGAUGCAACCAAUACUAUUCCAAUCAACGAAGAAUUCUUCUAUGAAUUCCAACGCCAUCAGAGUACUUAUGAGGCACAAUACUGUUUUAAAGCUUUAAAGAUGGCUCGAGACACUUGGUUCAAUGAUCAAUUCUAUACAAGCUAUUUUAUGUGGGACUCUUUUACUUCUGGUGUUGCCAUCUCCAGCAUGCGCAAUGAUAAGAGUGGCAAAUUUGGAAAUGAUUUUGCUCAGCUUGAAUAUAUGAACGUUACAGUUAUAACUUCUAAUAAACCAUAUGGUGUGCAUGAUGGCUCAAAUCCAUUAUUCAAAGGUCGUGGAGCCCCCAAGUUUGGUCUUAAAAGAGAUGGAGUUCAUAGCGGUCAUGUUCAAACUGGAAUUACCGAUAACUUCUGCAGCGUCAAGGGAAGUAAUAAAGGAAGAUGUGAGGAUGGAUACACUAAGGAAGUCUCUGGUCCAGAAGCAGUCCACAUUCGUGUUGCUACGAGGGCUAAACCAAAUUUGGAUAAGUAUAGCCCUUUUGACAGGGAAUUUUUCAAAAGCUUUCUAGAGGCACUAAAUCUUCGUGAGAACUCUGGUAGUCUGAACCUUAUGGCACAGUUUCCAUUUUACAGAGAGAUUCUUUACAAGCUAGACUUCAAAAACAAAAAAAUUGGGCCACCUGUUAUUUUUGACAUGGACAUGAGUCCUGGAGAUUUUAUCUCACUUAUAUAUCUCUUGAAGGCGCCUAUUGAAGUAAUAGAUUUAAAGGGGAUUUUGGUCAGUGGCAAUGGUUGGGCCCACAUUGCAAGCAUUGAUAUCAUUUACGAUAUUUUACAUAUGAUGGGCCGUGAUGACAUUCCUGUCGGUCGUGGUAACACCAAUGCAAUAGGAACUCCAAUUCUUGGCUGCAACUAUGCCAGUUUUAUUCCCCAAGGUAGUGGGGGACUUAUUGACUCGGACACUCUAUAUGGGUUAGCUCGGUCAUUGCCAAGAAGUCCUAGAAGGUAUACUGCUGAAAAUUCAGUAAAAUAUGGUGCUCCUAGAAACACUGACCAUCCAGAACUUCGGCAGCCAUUGGCUUUUGAAGUUUGGCAGUCUAUCAAAGAGCAGCUUCCUCCAAGUGAGAAGAUCACUAUUCUUACCAGUGGACCUCUUACAAAUUUGGCCAAUAUAAUGCUCUCUGACAGGAACACAAGUUCUGUAAUAGAGAAGGUUUAUGUUGUUGGAGGUCAUAUUAGAGGUGAAAAUGAUUCCAAGGGAAAUGUGUUUACUGUUCCAUCAAAUAGGUAUGCAGAGUUUAAUAUGUUUCUUGAUCCACUAGCUGCGAAAACAGUCCUGGAGUCCUCUCUGGACAUCACACUGAUUCCUCUGAGGUCUCAAAGAAAAGUUGCUUCCUUUAAAUCUAUCCUUCACGCUUUGAAGCAUACUGAUCACACUCCAGAAUCAAGUUUUGUCCACCGCUUGCUGUUGUUGCUACAUGAACUUCAGCAGAAGCAUCGGCUGUAUCACCAUAUGGAUAUAUUUCUGGGAGAAGUUCUUGGUGCUGUCUACUUGGUGGAAGGAUUUAGUAUGAGACCGUUCAUACAAUCAAUGCCAAUAAGCGUCGUUGCCAACAGCUCAACAAGCACGAACGGGCAGAUUGUGAUCAACAAGCAGAGUGCAAAUUCUGUAAAGGUAUUGGUUGAUUUCAGUAGUGGAAAAUACUACAGCCGAGUUGGCAAAUCUUUAGGCAACAAGGAGCAAUCUGCUGUUGUUGGUAGUUUUGCAGAACAGAAUACCAUCUGGAGCAGGCCACCUGAGAUUCUGAGAAAUUGAAGGCAUAAACACAAAAGAUUAGAUAAAGCAGCCUGAUAAAUUGAUGGCAUAAACCCAAAUGAUAAUUUUUUAUGUACCAUGGAGACUCACCAGCACGUAUACAUGGGUUGCUCCAAGUGGACACUGCUUUUCUUAAACAUAAACGGCAGGAGCUCCGUCUUUCAUUAACAUAAAUAUAUGUACAAGAAGGGGCAAGAGCCCCUAGAAGACACUAGGCUACACAUCUUUCCAAAGGAUUUUUGCUAAUAACCCGAAAUGGCCUAGACGGGGGAGGGGGGCGUGCACGAUGCGGCGGUGAGACUCUAGUUUGUCAUAUGGAGCAGCAAAAUAGAGACGAGACAAAGGAACAAGUGACUGUCUUCCCCUAUUGUCGGCACCGUGUGCAUGCCUAGAGGAGCAUGGCAGCAGCUUGCUUCGCAGUGGGUUAGCAGACAUGCUUGGGUGGGCUCCUUUGCAGUGUUUAGAUGUGUUGCUUUAUUUUUUAGAUAACAGAACAAAAUUCUAGCCUCUACCAUGUGAGGAUGGUACACAACUGAGAGUUCAAACAAUUCUGCAUUGGGCUCUUUCAUCAAUUGAUGUAAAGAUCAAUUAGUUUGCCAUACUUUUUCUUUAGGGGAAGAUAAUAAGAUGGCUCCCUG